Molecule: ribosomal RNA, 1310 nt
Filed under: uncultured bacterium
Lineage: Bacteria
Description: partial 16S ribosomal RNA
Rfam family: Bacterial small subunit ribosomal RNA
Source: RNAcentral
AGUAGCAAUACUUAGUGGCAGACGGGUGAGUAACAUGUAGGUAUCUGCCCUUUGGCCUGGAAUAACACGAGGAAACUUGUGCUAAUACCGGAUAAGUCUUUACGGAGAAAGCUUUAUGCACCAUUGGAUGAGCCUGCACUUGAUUAGUUUGUUGGUGGGGUAAUGGCCUACCAAGACUGUGAUCAAUAGCUGAUUUGAGAGGAUGAUCAGCCACAUUGGGACUGAGACACGGCCCAAACUCCUACGGGAGGCAGCAGUGGGGAAUCUUGCACAAUGGAGGAAACUCUGAUGCAGCGAUGCCGCGUGAGUGAAGAAGGCCCUUGGGUUGUAAAGCUCUUUCGUCGGGGAAGAAAAUGACUGUACCCGAAUAAGAAGGUCCGGCUAACUUCGUGCCAGCAGCCGCGGUAAUACGAAGGGACCUAGCGUAGUUCGGAAUUACUGGGCUUAAAGAGUUCGUAGGUGGUUGAAAAAGUUGGUGGUGAAAUCCCAGAGCUUAACUCUGGAACUGCCAUCAAAACUUUUCAGCUAGAGUAUGAUAGAGGAAAGCAGAAUUUCUAGUGUAGAGGUGAAAUUCGUAGAUAUUAGAAAGAAUACCAAUUGCGAAGGCAGCUUUCUGGAUCAUUACUGACACUGAGGAACGAAAGCAUGGGUAGCGAAGAGGAUUAGAUACCCUCGUAGUCCAUGCCGUAAACGAUGUGUGUUAGACGUUGGAAAUUUAUUUUCAGUGUCGCAGCGAAAGCGAUAAACACACCGCCUGGGGAGUACGACCGCAAGGUUAAAACUCAAAUGAAUUGACGGGGACCCGCACAAGUAGUGGAGCAUGUGGUUUAAUUCGAUGCAACGCGAAGAACCUUACCAACCCUUGAAAUCUAGCGAAGUUCACAGAGAUGAGAAUGUGCCUUCGGGAACGCUAUGACAGGUGUUGCAUGGCUGUCGUCAGCUCGUGUCGUGAGAUGUAUGGUUAAGUCCAGUAACGAGCGCAACCCCUAUCCUUAUUUGCCAGCGCGUCAAGGCGGGAACUAUAGGGAGACUGCCGGGUGAAACCCGGAGGAAGGCGGGGACGAGGUCAAGUCAUCAUGGCCCUUAUGGGUUGGGCUACACACGUGCUACAAUGGGAAGUACAGAGGGAUGCUAAAGCGCGAGCUGGAGCCAAACCCUUAAAACUUUUCUUAGUCCGGAUUGGAGUCUGCAACUCGACUCCAUGAAGUCGGAAUCACUAGUAAUCGCGAAUCAGAAUGUCGCGGUGAAUACGUUCUCGGGCCUUGUACACACCGCCCGUCACAUCAUGGAAGUGGGUUCUACCUUAAGGC